AACGCUAGCUACAGGCUUAACACAUGCAAGUCGAGGGGAAACGAUAUUGGAAGAUUGCUUCCGAUAGGCGUCGACCGGCGCACGGGUGAGUAACGCGUAUCCAACCUGCCCACCACUUGGGGAUAACCUUGCGAAAGUAAGACUAAUACCCAAUGACGUCUCUAGAAGACAUCUGAAAGAGAUUAAAGAUUUAUCGGUGAUGGAUGGGGAUGCGUCUGAUUAGCUUGUUGGCGGGGUAACGGCCCACCAAGGCAACGAUCAGUAGGGGUUCUGAGAGGAAGGUCCCCCACAUUGGAACUGAGACACGGUCCAAACUCCUACGGGAGGCAGCAGUGAGGAAUAUUGGUCAAUGGACGAGAGUCUGAACCAGCCAAGUAGCGUGCAGGAAGACGGCCCUAUGGGUUGUAAACUGCUUUUAUAAGGGAAUAAAGUGAGAGUCGUGACUCUUUUUGCAUGUACCUUAUGAAUAAGGACCGGCUAAUUCCGUGCCAGCAGCCGCGGUAAUACGGAAGGUCCGGGCGUUAUCCGGAUUUAUUGGGUUUAAAGGGAGCGUAGGCCGGAGAUUAAGCGUGUUGUGAAAUGUAGAUGCUCAACAUCUGAACUGCAGCGCGAACUGGUUUCCUUGAGUACGCACAAAGUGGGCGGAAUUCGUGGUGUAGCGGUGAAAUGCUUAGAUAUCACGAAGAACUCCGAUUG
Molecule: ribosomal RNA, 696 nt
Filed under: uncultured Bacteroidales bacterium
Lineage: Bacteria; Pseudomonadati; Bacteroidota; Bacteroidia; Bacteroidales
Description: bacterial SSU rRNA
Rfam family: Bacterial small subunit ribosomal RNA
Source: RNAcentral